AGAGGAGAAAUCACUCACUGUCAUCGAGUAGAAACCCUAAUCUUGAAGAAAGUUGAAACCUCUGAUUUUCACUCGGGGGAAUAAGGUCACUCACCAGUCAAGAGUCAUCGAAGAGAUCCAAAGACACCAAAAAUAGUGAGAGAAUGGAGGAAGGACCGAAGGAAAAACCCUAGGUUCUCUACGACUCCUCAGACCCUCACUUGUGGCCAUGAUGGGAGACAAUGGGUAUGAUCCGGGUGAUCUAGUGCCUCGGGGAGGAAGAAGAGUGGUUAGGGUUAGGGUUAGUUGCCGUUGGGAAGGAAGAAUAGGUUAGGAUUGGCCACUGCUAGGGAAGGAAGAUGAAAUGAAGGACAGAGGGUUUGACUGUUUGAGCCUUUGAGGAAUUUAUUUAUCAUCCGACAGACCCGAAGAGCCGAAGAGGGACUCCUUCAACUUUUGAGGGGGCUGAGCACCUAAGUGGGCCACGUGUUGGCCCAACAAUGUUGGGACAAGAAUUUAUUUAUCACUCGACAGAUCCGAUGAGCCGAAGAGAGACUCUUUCAACUUUUGAGGGGGUUGAGCACCUGAGUGGGCUACGUGUUGGCCCAACACUAUUGGGCCCCUUGGAUCCAUUGCAGCUGGCAUGCCCAACAGGUUGACAGAUCACACGAUCCAACCCGACCCAUCC
Molecule: long non-coding RNA, 667 nt
Filed under: Elaeis guineensis (African oil palm)
Lineage: Eukaryota; Viridiplantae; Streptophyta; Magnoliopsida; Arecales; Arecaceae
Description: long non-coding RNA (EGUI_LNC065004)
Source: RNAcentral